AGGGCAUUAAGUUAAUGAGACUACGGCACUUCAAAUGUUGCAGUGAACAAAGAAAGUUCAUGUCCUG
Molecule: transfer RNA, 67 nt
Filed under: Nototeredo knoxi
Lineage: Eukaryota; Metazoa; Mollusca; Bivalvia; Myida; Teredinidae
Description: tRNA-Trp
Source: RNAcentral